This 135-nucleotide small nucleolar RNA is filed under the name Strongylocentrotus purpuratus (purple sea urchin). RNAcentral describes it as "small nucleolar RNA SNORA57". It matches the Rfam family "Small nucleolar RNA SNORA57". Rfam says of the family: U99 belongs to the H/ACA class of snoRNAs which are thought to guide the sites of modification of uridines to pseudouridines, the target for this family is unknown. Lineage: Eukaryota; Metazoa; Echinodermata; Echinoidea; Camarodonta; Strongylocentrotidae. The record is from Rfam by way of RNAcentral.
CCUCCUUUUCUUGGCAUCUCUGAACUCUCUUAUCAUGUUUAUGAGAUGAAUGCAACCAGGAGGAAGAUAAAUAUGAUGAACCUUCGGUGUCAGGGUUCUUAUGCCCUGGUCCCAUCCUCUAGCAUCAUUACAGGG